CCGGGAGUGGGAUGUUUGCGCU
RNAcentral lists this microRNA (22 nucleotides) under Danio rerio (zebrafish). RNAcentral's name for it is "dre-miR-30c-3p". Its record names the gene dre-miR-30c-3p. Lineage: Eukaryota; Metazoa; Chordata; Actinopteri; Cypriniformes; Danionidae. The record is from miRBase by way of RNAcentral. RNAcentral also lists the same sequence under 2 other names.